Musa acuminata subsp. malaccensis (wild Malaysian banana) is the source of this 333-nucleotide non-coding RNA. NCBI's taxonomy places the organism in Eukaryota, Viridiplantae, Streptophyta, Magnoliopsida, Zingiberales, Musaceae. The record is from RefSeq and is a predicted model, not a curated record.
AGUACAUCGGUUACGUUUAGCUCUCUGAUUCGGUUCUCUCUGUGGCAUGCACAUGUAAUCUCAAGCGCAUUGGAGUAGCACAAGACGAUGACGGUGACCACUCGCCUAAGACUUUUCGCUCAAAAUUCCCAUCAAACUACAGCACGCUCUUUGACCUGUUGGAGUUGACCAGCAUCCCAGCUGGCUGGAUUCAGCGAUUUGCUUAUAACAUUAUAUGGCAAUUGUCCCCGAGAGUCCAACGUUUGGAGAGGAAGAAGAAGAACCAUACAGAAACUAUGCGCCUCAUCGAAUACUUAGCCAAAGAAGGAUACUUCGAGUUCUUUGUGCGUGGAA